RNAcentral lists this ribosomal RNA (313 nucleotides) under uncultured eukaryote. Its description in RNAcentral is "partial 18S ribosomal RNA". It matches the Rfam family "Eukaryotic small subunit ribosomal RNA", at positions 1470 to 1796 of the family's 1831-position model. The record is from RNAcentral.
CCCUUAGAUGUUCUGGGCCGCACACGCGCUACAAUGGCAAAGUCAACGAGCUUAUCCUAUGCUGACAAGCACAGGUAAUCUUUUCAGUCUUUGUCGUGAUGGGGAUAGGCCCUUGUAAUUAUUGGUCUCCAACGAGGAAUUCCUAGUAAACGCAAGUCAUCAACUUGCAUUGAUUACGUCCCUGCCCUUUGUACACACCGCCCGUCGCACCUACCGAUUGAAUGGUCCGGUGAAGUCUUCGGACCGAUGCUGACUCGUUGGCAACGGAAAGUUGAGUAAACCUUACCAUUUAGAGGAAGGUGAAGUCGUAACA